Molecule: ribosomal RNA, 164 nt
Filed under: uncultured bacterium
Lineage: Bacteria
Description: partial 16S rRNA
Rfam family: Bacterial small subunit ribosomal RNA
Source: RNAcentral
UAGGGAAUCUCCCACAAUGGGCGCAAGCCUGAUGGAGCAACACCGCGUGAGUGAGGAAGGGUUUCGGCUCGUAAAGCUCUGUUGUUAAAGAAGAACACGUAUGAGAGUAACUGUUCAUACGUUGACGGUAUUUAACCAGAAAGUCACGGCUAACUACGUGCCAC